GGCGAACGAAAAUGGAUUAGGCUAAAAUAUUAUAUUUAUUAAAUUAUAAUGAUAGAAAAGGUGUUAUAUACCUGUGUAAUUUUAAUAAAUAUUUUAAAUUUUGAGUAAAACGAAUUAGGUGUAAUUUUGUUUGAAUAUAAGGGAACCAUCCUUUAAGCCUAAAAAUAGUAAAUAAUCAAUAGUGAACUAGUACUGUAAAGGAAAGGUGAAAUAGAAUUUACGAAAUUGAAAUAGAUCUUGAAAUUUAAUGCUCAUUUAGCAAUUGGAGCUUUUAAUGAAAAAGUGACAAUGUACCUUUUGUAUAAUGGGCCAGUAAGUUUAUUUAUAUAGCAAGUUUAAGUUGAUAAAUGUAAACGUUGUGAAAGCAUAAAAUAUUAAAUGUAUUUAUUAGUUAUAUAAAUAAGACCCGAAACCGAGUGAUCUAAUUAUGAACAAGUUGAAAAAAUAUUAAGUUAUUUUUGAGGACUGAACUCGUGUCUGUUGCAUAAGACUGGGAUGAUUUGUGAUUAGGGGUGAAAGGCUAAUCAAACUCGGAGAUAGCUGGUUUUCUGCGAAAUCUAUUUACGUAAAGUGCUAAUAUAUUAAUUUUUUGGGGUAGAGAUAUCGAUAAAAGAGGGUUGCCCAUAAAGCUUUACCAAUUUUAAGGAAACUUCGAAUACAAAAAAUUUUAUUAGUAAUCGGACUUAUAAUGCUAAGGUUGUAGGUCGAGAGGGAAACAGCCCAGAUUGUUUAUUAAGGUCUUUAAAUUAUUAAAUUUCUUAUAAGAAAAGAGUUUUUAAAUAAAAAUAACUAAGAGUUAGGUUCAGAAGCAGCCAUUCUUUAAAGAAAGCGUAAAAGCUCAUUAGUUCAAUUUAAAGAUUCUAACGAUGUAUAGAGAUUAAAGAAAUAUACCGAAAUAGCAAAUAUGAAUUUGAUUUAUAUGGUAGCAGAACGUUCUGUAUGCAAAAAGAUAAAUUGAUAAAUUUAUUAAUGUAUCAGAAGUGAUAAUACUGGCAUAAGUAAUAUAAAUAAUAUUAAAUUUGGUAAUUAAAUAUUAUCGUCGAAAAUUCAAGGUUUUUAAUAUAUAUUUGUUAAACAAUAUUAAGUAAUACGGCCUCUAAAUUGAAAGUGAAAACUUUAUUUGAUGAGUAAUAUAUAAAAUUAACAUUUAUUAACUUUUAAAUACAAAAGUUAAUGGAUUUCAAAAAGAAUUUUAUAAUAAACCGUACUAAAAACCAACACAGGUGAAUGGGUAGAGUAUACUAAGACGAUAAAGUGAAUCAUAGUGAAGGAACUCGGCAAAUUAACCUUGUAACUUCGGAAGAAAAGGUUUUAUUAAAGUAUUUGAAUUUAAUAAAGUAACAGAAAAGAGGGUAGCGACUGUUUAAUAAAAACACAGGACUUUGCUAAAUCGUAAGAUGAUGUAUAAGGUCUGACACCUGCCAGGAACUGUGUAGUUAAAUUUAAAGAUUAUUUAUUUUUAAUAUAAACAGCAGUAAUCGGCGGCCAUACUCUGAUGGUCCUAAGGUAGCGAAAUUCCUUGUCAACUAAUUAUUGACGUGCAUGAAUGGUGUAACGACUUCCCUACUGUCUCCACUAUGAGCUUUGUGAAAUUGAAAUAUUCGUGAAGAUGCGAAUUAUAUAUGGUUAGACGGUAAGACCCCGUGCACCUUUACUACAAUCUUUUAUUGAUUAUUUUUGUAAAAUUGUGUAGAAUAAAUGGGAGUUUAAAUUUAGUUUUAGACGAAAUGUGAAAUACCAUUCGUUUUAUUUAAAAUAGCUAAUUUUAAUUAAUAAAAAAUUAAAAGACAUUUAUAAGAUUGGUAGUUUAACUGGGGUGGUUUUCUCCUAAAAGGUAACGGAGAAAUAUAAAGGUAAAUUAAUAAUUAUUGUUGUAAUAAUUAUUUAUGUAUAAUGGCUAAAAUUUGCUUAACUGUAAGAUUGACAAAUCAUGCAGAAACUUUUGUUUAAAACAUAAGUUGAUCAUAGUGACCCGGUAGUUCUUUAUGGAAAGGCUAUCGAUCAAUGGA
This 2009-nucleotide ribosomal RNA is filed under the name pig gut metagenome. RNAcentral's name for it is "bacterial LSU rRNA". It matches the Rfam family "Bacterial large subunit ribosomal RNA", at positions 248 to 2456 of the family's 2925-position model. The record is from RNAcentral.